RNAcentral lists this ribosomal RNA (253 nucleotides) under uncultured bacterium. RNAcentral's name for it is "partial 16S ribosomal RNA". It matches the Rfam family "Bacterial small subunit ribosomal RNA", at positions 524 to 776 of the family's 1533-position model. The record is from RNAcentral.
UACGUAGGUGGCAAGCGUUGUCCGGAUUUAUUGGGUUUAAAGGGUGCGUAGGCGGCCCUGUAAGUCAGUGGUGAAAUAUUUCAGCUCAACUGGAAUUGUGCCAUUGAUACUGCGGGGCUUGAGUACAGAUGAGGUAGGCGGAAUUGACGGUGUAGCGGUGAAAUGCUUAGAUAUCGUCAAGAACACCUAUAGCGAAGGCAGCUUACUAGGCUGUAACUGACGCUGAGGCACGAAAGUGUGGGGAUCAAACAGG